CUUCGUUUCCUCUCUCUCUCUCUCUCUCUCUCUCUCUCUCUCUCUCUCUCUCUCUCUCUCAUGACGUCAUAAUCAUUGGUUAUGGCAAAAUUUCAGGCAACCAAGCCUUGCCAUUGCCGAAUAUGGCAAAGCAAUUAAUGCUCCCUUCGUAAUACGCCCUUUUUUCACCAAAUGAAGCCCAAAUGCGCCUCGAUUCCUAUUGGCUUGUAAGGGUAUGAACUGGAUCGACGAAAAUUGGUCAAAAUCCAGCUGUAUAUCUGAUGUUUUGUCCAAAUCGUAGCUGUAGGAUAUAAACUCAGGCAUAAACUUUCAAGAUUUCGACAAAGUCCCUCAUCGAAAUUGUUAGGGUUUCUAUAAAUUUGGGGUUCUUAUAAAUAGGACCCCAUUUCGGAGAAAAAAGAGGAGGAAAACCAAAUUUUGAGCAUUCACACUCGAAAUUAGAGUUAUUAGCAAAAAGUUUUAGACUUAGCCUUGAAGUUGAGUCAUUAGUUUUUUUUUUUUUUUUUUUUUUUUUUUUGCUUUUGUUUCAUUGUGUGGUGGCUGAGGAGGGGAUUGGAAGCACAAAGGAACUUUCAAAUUCAUUCUUGACCAAGGCUGCACUGAAAAAGGUAACUCCUUAUCUUGUUUUUGCUUUGCUUUAGUUUUCUAUUAGUCUAGAUAUAUAUAUCAGUAUUGUUUCAGUGAUAAUAGGAGUCUGUUAAUAGUAAUUAUGUGUUUGUGCUUUGCCUGAUUGAUUGUUGAUCUCACAGUCUAAUUCUAGAAAUUUAUUAACCUGCCUUUGUAUGAAUGUGCCUAAAUGUGUUCUCAAACAUCCUGAUUGUUAUGAGACAGGGAAAUAUGAUAGCUAAGAGGUUUUAAGCAUGAUAUUAAGACUAAAAAUGAAGGAUUAAAGUCAAGACUCAUUUUGAUUUGUAAGAAUGUCUUAAAGUGUUUCAACAAUUGGUGGUUUAGAUAAAUUCUUAUUGUAAAAUGAACUUUUAUAUUUGAGCCUUUUUGUAAUUUGACACUCAAAUAUAUCUUUUAAAAAAAUUGGUCAAACAUAAUCUGCUUAUCAAAUACUCAAAAAGCAUUUCUCAAACGAAUUGACCAAAUACAAAUUAUUUCUCUCUAAUAUACUUUUCUAAAAAAUUAUUU
Lycium barbarum (goji berry) is the source of this 1134-nucleotide long non-coding RNA. RefSeq lists it as uncharacterized. The record is from RefSeq and is a predicted model, not a curated record. NCBI's taxonomy places the organism in Eukaryota, Viridiplantae, Streptophyta, Magnoliopsida, Solanales, Solanaceae. The transcript is spliced from 2 exons.